GGGGACUUAGCUCAGUGGUAGGGCGCUUGCCUAGCAAGCACAAGGCCCUGGGUUCAGUCCCCA
This 63-nucleotide transfer RNA is filed under the name Rattus norvegicus (Norway rat). It matches the Rfam family "tRNA". From Rfam's summary of the family: Transfer RNA (tRNA) molecules are approximately 80 nucleotides in length. The record is from Rfam by way of RNAcentral. Lineage: Eukaryota; Metazoa; Chordata; Mammalia; Rodentia; Muridae.